UACGGGGGGGGCAAGCGUUGUUCGGAAUUACUGGGCGUAAAGGGCUCGUAGGCGGCCAACUAAGUCAGACGUGAAAUCCCUCGGCUUAACCGGGGAACUGCAUCUGAUACUGGAUGGCUUGAGAUUGGGAGAGGGAUGCGGAAUUCCAGGUGUAGCGGUGAAAUGCGUAGAGAUCGGGAGGAAGGCCGGUGGCGAAGGCGGCGCUCUGGAACAUUUCUGACGCUGAGGCUCGAAAGCGUGGGGAGCAAACAGG
Molecule: ribosomal RNA, 253 nt
Filed under: uncultured bacterium
Lineage: Bacteria
Description: partial 16S ribosomal RNA
Rfam family: Bacterial small subunit ribosomal RNA
Source: RNAcentral